CUGAGCUACAUCUUUGGCCCUCUAGUAGAUAUUUUUAAAGUAAAGGAUAUGAAGUCUUCAUUUGGUUAUUUCUCUUUUUUGGUACCGGGGGAUCGAACUCAGGUCCUUGCGUUUGCACAGCAGGCGGCAUAUUUGGUUAUUUCUAAGAAAUAAAACCUGAUAACUUGUUUCUUUUAUGUUUAUUUCUGUGCAUUCCUGAAAUAAUUAAUUGGAAGGUUAAAAAUUAUAAUAAUGCCUAAAAACUUUGGCAUCCAUUAAAAUAAUCAAAAUUUUUAUUUAUUUGGUUUACUAACAUGUUUCCCUUUUUUUUUUUUUUUUUUUGGGACCAGGGAUUGAACUUGAGUCCUUGUGCUUGCGCAGCAGGUGGCGAAACCACUCCCUUUUUCUUUUUUGAUUGCCACAGGAUCUGGGCCUCACUACCGUGUGGGAAGAUCAGCUUUCUUAUCUUUUGUCGCCAGCCCUGGCCUCCUAUGAAUUUGAGCGCACAACGAGCAUAUCUGCAGGAAAUGAGGAGUUUCAGGACGCCAUCAGGAGGGCUGUGCCUGACGGGCACACAUUUAAGGGCUUCCCCAUCCACUUCGUGUACAGAAAUGCAAGGCGUGCAUUUGCCACGUGUCUUCGGUCCCCGUUUUGUGAAGAAAUAAUCUGUUGCCGUGGAGACCAAGUGCACUGGCAGUGCGUGUCCAGUGUUCACUUACCCUGAGUCGGCCUGUGCUGUUUGGAUCAUGUUUGCUUGGUCUGGCCUUGAAUUCACUGUAGCCCAGGCUGGCCUCGAACUCACAGCGAUCCUUCUGCCUUGGUCUCCCGAGUGCUGGGGUUAUAGCUGUGCACCACCAUGCCCAGCAGAAGUUUUUAAUUUUGAUAAAGUCUAAUGUAUCUUUCUUCGAGGUUUAUGGUUUUGGUGUCAUAUUUAAGAAUCCAUUGCCAAGUGCAAAGUUAUGAAGAUUUAUCUGUUUUUCCUUAAAGUUUUAGUUUUACCUCACACUUCAGUCUUCCAUCGAUUUUCAGUUAAUUUUUAUAUAUGGUUUGAGGUAAGAAUCCACGUUCUUUUGCAUAUGCAUACUGAGUUGUAACAGCACCUGUUUUUGGAAACUAUUUUUCCCUAUUGAUGCUCAAACUAGAAAAUGUCUGAAUGACACCAAUAAAACUGAUAUACG
Molecule: long non-coding RNA, 1157 nt
Filed under: Heterocephalus glaber (naked mole-rat)
Lineage: Eukaryota; Metazoa; Chordata; Mammalia; Rodentia; Bathyergidae
Description: lncRNA (ENSHGLG00100034349.1)
Source: RNAcentral